GCCGCCAACUUAUUUUUUUCUCUUUAUUUGUAUUGUAUUUUUAGGAGAUUUUUUAUGAAAAAUCUAUUGGAGAACUGAUUUAUCAUAAAAAAAUAUGAAAAGGGAUGUCCCAUAAUUUUUUUUGACAUGUUUUGGCAUAAAUUUUGAGUAGGGGUGACAACACAUCAAGAGUCCAUGAUCUCUAGGACUCUUCACCCCACCUAAUUACAUGUUGAAAUAAAAGGAGUU
This 228-nucleotide long non-coding RNA is filed under the name Elaeis guineensis (African oil palm). RNAcentral's name for it is "long non-coding RNA (EGUI_LNC052818)". Lineage: Eukaryota; Viridiplantae; Streptophyta; Magnoliopsida; Arecales; Arecaceae. The record is from RNAcentral.